RNAcentral lists this non-coding RNA (641 nucleotides) under Pongo abelii (Sumatran orangutan). The record is from RNAcentral. Lineage: Eukaryota; Metazoa; Chordata; Mammalia; Primates; Hominidae.
ACGCACAUCUAUGCCGGAGCACCAGGCUGCCCCCAGCGGCUCCUCCGGGCCUUCUGCAGCCCCAUCACCCACCCACAUGGAACAUGGCUGGGGUGGACUGAAGGGAUGGAGCUGGGGCAGGACACAGCCCUAGGAGCAUCUGCCUGGCGCCAGCUUCUGCUGACGGCAGCUCAACAGCCCCCAGCCACGUGGCAAAGAGGGUCCCCAUGCAGCCCUGGCUGCAGCUGCUCCAGGGGUGGCCUGAAACUUCUCAAAGAAGAUGCUGUGUCCGGCCCCCCUGAACCCCCACUUGGCCUGACCCCACUGAUGCUGCAGACCCCCAGCCCAGCCAGGUGGGGACACCCAGCACCCACCCGCAGGGAGGGGCAGCGUGCGGCCCACUGACCUCCCGGAAGAAGGCGGCGUUCCUCUGCACGUUGUUGCUGGCAUGAGCAGCCUGGAUCUCGGGGUAAAAGGAGCUGAUGACAUAGUCGAGCAGCUGCACUCGAAUGUCGUUCCUCCCCACGCUGGGGCCUGCACGCCCUGUGUGCUCAUCUGCAGACUUAAAAAUCUCAAAGGAUCCAAACCUGGAGGGAAGACCCGAGGGGUCAACAGGUCAAACCUGACCCCAACCACUUGUGAAAAUAAGAAAAAGAAAAAGA